CGGGCACCUCUCAUCCCGCACACGGAGCCCGGCGCCGCAGGCCAGAGGCCAUGAGCGGGAAAGCAGCAGGCUCCCGGUGAGAUCACAGAUGCACAAAUACAGACUCAUGGAAUCGAUGGGGUUAAGGGGGACUUCUGGAGAUGAUCCAGUCCAACCCCUCACCAAGGCAGGGUCACCCGGAGCAGGUGACACAGGGACACUUGCAGGGCUGGAAAAUAUGGUCGCUGUGCGUGGACUCUGACUGCCAGGGUGAUGAAGCCAUUCUUCCAUCCCCAAGGACUGCUGGAGAAUUGAAGUCAGGCUCGCAUGGACCACAUUGCUGAUGCUGCUGGAGAAAGAAGAGAGGGCACAGAAAGGCACGAGCCCUGCAGAUGCAGUUUCCUCCCAUGGAUUUUCCAUGUCCUAUAAAAUUUGAAGAUGUCAGGUACCAACAUUUUUUACAGGAUGCCAAAAUUGUUGAGGUGGGUUUGAUGCUGCAAACCAACAAGCUGCUCUUUGAGCUGUUCUGCUGCUUGACAAGCGACACAGGAACAGACGUGUGAACUUCCCAGUUCCUUUUUAAUGGUGUUUUAACAUCAAAGACUAGCUUUACAUGUUUAAACGACUACAAAUUAGUGAAUGUUUGUUUUGCACAUCUGGCCCUGCUCAUUGCAUUCACCAUCAUUAUUAAAAUGGAAAUGGAUGUUAAUCUGCAAUAAAGAAAAACAUGGAUUGCAAA
Molecule: long non-coding RNA, 718 nt
Organism: Corvus hawaiiensis (hawaiian crow)
Lineage: Eukaryota; Metazoa; Chordata; Aves; Passeriformes; Corvidae
Exons: 2
Source: RefSeq, a predicted model, not a curated record